RNAcentral lists this long non-coding RNA (513 nucleotides) under Oryza brachyantha (malo sina). RNAcentral describes it as "long non-coding RNA (OBRA_LNC000374)". Lineage: Eukaryota; Viridiplantae; Streptophyta; Magnoliopsida; Poales; Poaceae. The record is from RNAcentral.
AGUUAAGAGCCAUUAUCAGUCAAACACAACACAAGAAUCAUUGUACUAUAACAAUUUUGCCCACUCCAUUAGCAAGCAUCAUCAGCUUUGCUUGCUUCCUUGCUCCUACCUCACCUUUCACCUGCUCCCCACAUUUAUUAAAUUCGAAUCGAAAGCUCCCCCCUUUUCCAUUGAUGAGAGAGAGAAGCCAAGAACAACCUAAAGCCUAGCAGCAGCAGCAAGAGGAAUUUAAGGCCAUUAGAGAAAGAUAUUGAAUUCUUUACCCACACACGCCGCAUCCUAAUCUCCUGCCGGAAGCAAGCAACCAUGGCAUCGGGCCUCCUCCUCUUUGCCUCUUCUUUAUCUCGCCACUGCUAGCUGUUUGCUCUCUGCACAUUAGCUGUCCACUGGCAACGCCCCGCCAUCCAUGGCGGUCCGCGUGGCCGUGUUCUAGGCGAGAAGCGACCGAGGAAGGCUACAUCUUGAGGGGAGAAUCAAGAACUGAAGUGGAAGGUGGUGGUGCUGGUGGGGGGG